This 368-nucleotide unclassified non-coding RNA is filed under the name uncultured Gammaproteobacteria bacterium. RNAcentral's name for it is "contains 16S-23S intergenic spacer region". Lineage: Bacteria; Pseudomonadati; Pseudomonadota; Gammaproteobacteria. The record is from RNAcentral.
UCCGGUUUGUCACCGGCAGUCUCAUUAGAGUGCCCUUGCGUAGCAACUAAUGAUAAGGGUUGCGCUCGUUGCGGGACUUAACCCAACAUCUCACGACACGAGCUGACGACAGCCAUGCACCACCUGUGGACGCCCCCGAAGGACACCGCAUCUCUACGGCUUUAACGCCCAUGUCAAGCCCAGGUAAGGUUCUUCGCGUUGCGUCGAAUUAAACCACAUGCUCCACCGCUUGUGCGGGCCCCCGUCAAUUCAUUUGAGUUUUAACCUUGCGGCCGUACUCCCCAGGCGGUCAACUUAAUGCGUUAGCUGCGCCACUAAGAGCUCAAGGCUCCCAACGGCUAGUUGACAUCGUUUACGGCGUGGACUAC